RNAcentral lists this unclassified non-coding RNA (270 nucleotides) under Hevea brasiliensis (rubber tree). The record is from RNAcentral. Lineage: Eukaryota; Viridiplantae; Streptophyta; Magnoliopsida; Malpighiales; Euphorbiaceae.
GAGGGUGUUCCUGUACAACUCAUAAAAAUAGCUCAUUGCCUUCAAGAUCAGGGUGGCCUCAGGGUGUUUUUAGGUGCACUUAUCCAAGGGGUACCAGCAAUGGCAAAUCUCCAAAAUGCACUAACAUGCUCUGGUAAAGCAUAUUCAAUGCCAACACGUGGACCGAUGAGUAUGUUUUCAGGCUCUGGUCCAUCCAAGAGUUCUAAACCACCAGGCGUAUAAAGGGGAUGAUUCGACCAUUCCUUUGAAAUCCCCAGUGCUUGACCAAUC